RNAcentral lists this long non-coding RNA (534 nucleotides) under Rattus norvegicus (Norway rat). RNAcentral describes it as "long non-coding RNA NONRATT028538". The record is from RNAcentral. Lineage: Eukaryota; Metazoa; Chordata; Mammalia; Rodentia; Muridae.
CCAGCUCCUCCUGCACCAUGGCUUCCUGGAUGCUGCCACGCUCCUACCUUGAUGAUAAUGGACUGAACCUCUGAACCUCUGAUCUGAGCAGCUGCCAAGCAGGCAGGGCUAGAGCACGCGCGUUGGAAGAGCAGAUUUGUACCCUGUAGGUGACCGAUGCAUACCCUCACCGUUGGCUGCCUCGGAUGCUACUGUUUGUGCCUAACACCUGUUAAGGGGCCACACACACAGAUGGCGCUGCAUAGCCUUGUUGGAGGAAUGGAGACAUUUCCUUAGCUGGCGGCACCACAAGUGCAUGGAAGGAGGAACAAUUACUGAUGUCUGUUUAGAAGAGCAUCUUCUAGUUGACUCUCAAGUUCAAGGACAGCUGGAUAAAAAGAAGACCCUUCCCACAUCUUAAGGAAAAUUGUGGAAAAGGAGGCAAAUGCUGGCCUGUCAUCCGUUACACACUUGAGACCUGUCCUUCAUCAGAUGGUUACGCGAACGCACGACCUAUCUUCUUCCCGUUCCCUUGAUAGUAUUAUCAUAAAUAAC